GAGAGCCAAUCCCUUAUAAUGGGUUUUAAUAAGAAGGAUUUUGGGACUUUGGGGGGAUAUAGAAGUGCCUUAUGGCGCAUUAAUGAAACCCAUUUAAGAGAAAUUCAUCUAGCUAGUGGGUAGUGCAUGAAACUGCCCUGCGAUUCCUUGAGACAUGCUAGCUUUUUGAUGGGGGAUUUGCCCUCAACUUAUCAUAUUUGCUACCAUGGCUAGAGUUUCUAUUCCAGUCAUCUCUUUCAUGACCCCUUUUCCUCCCUAGAACUGCAUCUUGCAAUUGCUGUUUUCAAGUGACCCAGUUACUUUACCCAUGAGCAAAAUAGCUCACAUGCAGCUCCAUUCACCACGUCUGAUUAACUUGGCCCAUUUUUCCCGCCCUUCCAUUUGGGAUAGUUCCAUUCUCAAAGGGCGGAAACUUUUCCUUCGUCAGAAGAUUUCCUCGACAAUUCAAGGGAUUUCUCGCUGAAGGGAUCGCUCACUGACCUUGAUAGCAGGGAAGAAUCCGAAUCUCGAGAGACAUUGAAUGAUCUUUUACAGUGAAGAAUGGCGCUCUGGAUCCCAUCCUGCUGCUGCAACAGCGAAUCAUCUCUCCUCCUUGACAUCACCGGAGCCGAUGGAGCCGCCGCGACCGCGGAGGCUGAUCGGCUUUUCCCUAAAUGUUUACACACAAUUCUCAGCCCCGUUGGCAAGUUUCCUUGUUUCACGCUCUUCGCAUUACUCACUGGAGGCGCUUCUGCACUUUCUGUCUCUGGUUGCCUCUUCUCGGCUGACAACGUUGAUUUCGACAGUGAAGAUUUAUGAGCCGCAGCUUCCGCUGAAGCUGGCGGCGGAGGACGAGCCGAUGCAUUUAGUCCAGAGCCUAAGCUCAGUUGACCGGAGAAUCUCAGUUUCUCGGCAUACCGUUUUGAAAUGCGAAUGUAAAGAGGCUUCACCUUCUUCAAGUAUCUCUGCAUUACGUCUUUCGAAAACCGCUUCUCAUCUGAAGCUGCGGAAGUGGAGGCGGCAGUUUCCUCUGUAUUAUUCUGCUUCUGAGAGGACUUGACGCUUUUACUGUUGUCUCUAGUGAAGAGGGAAACUAUAGGGACCUCCUCUACCUUGAACUUGACGGUGAAAAACUUGCUCUGUUUGGUCGCUUCCUCUCCUUUCUCUUCUUGCUUCUGCUGUUGUUGUUUGGGAGUAGGAGAUGCGGCAGAUUCAUUAGCUUCUGCUACUUUCUCAGUUUCGUUCAUUUUCGAUUUCUUGAACCCCAACAUGAAGACUCUUAACUUGGUGGCAGAUUUUAAGAAAGAAGCAGGGAACUGGGGCUUCGAAUUAGGCUCCAAGCCAUUUACAACCAGAGAAGAGGACUCGAUUGGGACAAGUCUCCCUUUGAAAAACAAAUCAUCAGAAGGUGAAAGUGUCAGAUUUUGAUCCACACGAUCGUUGCUAGAACCAGAAGAAAUGGUGAAGUUGAACUCCCCCUCCCCGUCUGUAUCUUCCCCAUCAUCCUCAUCGUUAUCUUCCUCAGAAACAUCUCCAUUACCCUCAUUCUUCUCUUCUCCCUCUUCUCCUUCGUUGUCGUCGGGUACAGCGAACUCCAAGUCAAAAAAGGGCCCGUCAUCGUCGUCAUCAUCGUCGGUUUCAACCGCGUUCUGGGCAAGAGCAGUGACGAUAGUAGUGGGGCGUGUAACACCGGUGUCUCCAGCGCCAACAAUGACACCCCCACCGCCGCCGCCCCUCCAGUAUUUGAGCAAGCUAAAAGCUUCCAUGGUUGGGAGAGCCAGCCCAGAAUAAUGCAGCAGAAAAAAGUUCGAAGCAGUAAAUAGGUUGAUGUAAAAAGAGAGAAAGGAAGGUUUGAUUGAGUGCUCAGUAGAAUGGGAGUACCGAUAAUGGGGUGACAGAGUUAGCAGAGAGAAACGGGUAAGCUUUUUUUC
RNAcentral lists this unclassified non-coding RNA (1910 nucleotides) under Hevea brasiliensis (rubber tree). Lineage: Eukaryota; Viridiplantae; Streptophyta; Magnoliopsida; Malpighiales; Euphorbiaceae. The record is from RNAcentral.